RNAcentral lists this ribosomal RNA (505 nucleotides) under uncultured bacterium. Its description in RNAcentral is "partial 16S ribosomal RNA". It matches the Rfam family "Bacterial small subunit ribosomal RNA", at positions 28 to 507 of the family's 1533-position model. The record is from RNAcentral.
GACGAACGCUGGCGGCGUGCCUAAUACAUGCAAGUAGAACGCACAGUUUAUACCGUAGCUUGCUACACCAUAGACUGUGAGUUGCGAACGGGUGAGUAACGCGUAGGUAACCUGCCUGGUAGCGGGGGAUAACUAUUGGAAACGAUAGCUAAUACCGCAUAAUAUUAAUUAUUGCAUGAUAAUUAAUUGAAAGGUGCAAUUGCACCACUACCAGAUGGACCUGCGUUGUAUUAGCUAGUAGGUGAGGUAACGGCUCACCUAGGCGACGAUACAUAGCCGACCUGAGAGGGUGAUCGGCCACACUGGGACUGAGACACGGCCCAGACUCCUACGGGAGGCAGCAGUAGGGAAUCUUCGGCAAUGGACGAAAGUCUGACCGAGCAACGCCGCGUGAGUGAAGGAGGUUUUCGGAUCGUAAAGCUCUGUUGUAAGAGAAGAACGGGUGUGAGAGUGGAAAGUUCACACUGUGACGGUAUCUUACCAGAAAGGGACGGCUAACUACGUG